RNAcentral lists this long non-coding RNA (620 nucleotides) under Marmota monax (woodchuck). Lineage: Eukaryota; Metazoa; Chordata; Mammalia; Rodentia; Sciuridae. The record is from RNAcentral.
UCCUCCUCGGGGCCACGCGCGCUCGCUGGAGACUCGGGCUCGGGCGGCGCUGGCUCGGCUCAAAUUAACGGCGAGAAGGCGCGGUCCUAACGCUCGCUGGCUGGACGCGGCUGCGCCGGCCGAGGAGGGGCGCAGAGUCCGAUGGCGGCGGCCGCGCCGCGGGGCCCGGCCCGGGUAAGGCGGCCCCGGAGGUCGGCGGUUCGCGUUUCCGCGCGCGCCCGUGCCCGCCGGGUCCCGCCCUGACGCCUCUUGUCCCGCUGGAUUCUCGCGAGUUGGAAACGCGCGGGAGCGUCCAGCGCUGCGCCGGCGGCCGCCGCGGAGCUGGUGUCGGACCGGGAGCGAGACCCGCGGGCCGCGGCCGCCCCAGCGGUCCCCAGGCGGCGGGCGACUGCCCGCUUUUACGGUGUCCCCUUAACCUUUCUGCUCUGUUCGUCUGCACCCGCGCCCCGGGGCACGUCUGUACGUGUCGCUCGUUGUCAUUUUAUUCCUUGGAUGAAUAAAAUGUCGUUGCGUGUCCGCCGAAGGCCUUUGGGUGUUGUCCCUCCGUGGGCCACGCGCGGUGUCAGCGCUGUCCCUAGCCCCCGGCCGCGGUUGCCGGGCUGCGAAGCCGACUCCGUGGG